RNAcentral lists this ribosomal RNA (468 nucleotides) under uncultured bacterium. Its description in RNAcentral is "partial 16S ribosomal RNA". It matches the Rfam family "Bacterial small subunit ribosomal RNA", at positions 28 to 507 of the family's 1533-position model. The record is from RNAcentral.
GACGAACGCUGGCGGCGUGCUUAACACAUGCAAGUCGAACGGAAAGGCCCUGCUUUUGUGGGGUGCUCGAGUGGCGAACGGGUGAGUAACACGUGAGUAACCUGCCCUUGACUUUGGGGUAACCUCAGGAAACUGGGGCUAAUACCGGAUAGGAGCUCCUGCUGCAUGGUGGGGGUUGGAAAGUUUCGGCGGUUGGGGAUGGACUCGCGGCUUAUCAGCUUGUUGGUGGGGUAGUGGCUUACCAAGGCUUUGACGGGUAGCCGGCCUGAGAGGGUGACCGGCCACAUUGGGACUGAGAGACGGCCCAGACUCCUACGGGAGGCAGCAGUGGGGAAUAUUGCACAAUGGGCGGAAGCCUGAUGCAGCAACGCCGCGUGCGGGAUGACGGCCUUCGGGUUGUAAACCGCUUUCGCCUGUGACGAAGCGUGAGUGACGGUAAUGGGUAAAGAAGCACCGGCUAACUACGUG